This 335-nucleotide ribosomal RNA is filed under the name uncultured soil bacterium. Its description in RNAcentral is "bacterial SSU rRNA". It matches the Rfam family "Bacterial small subunit ribosomal RNA", at positions 26 to 353 of the family's 1533-position model. The record is from RNAcentral.
AGAGUGAACGCUGGCGGUAGGCCUAACACAUGCAAGUCGAACGGCAGCACGGUAAGAGCUUGCUCUUAUGGGUGGCGAGUGGCGGACGGGUGAGGAAUACAUCGGAAUCUACCUUUUGGUGGGGGAUAACGUAGGGAAACUUACGCUAAUACCGCAUACGCCCUUCGGGGGAAAGCCGGGGACCAGCAAUGGCCUGGCGCUGAUAGAUGAGCCGAUGUCGGAUUAGCUAGUUGGUGAGGUAAUGGCUCACCAAGGCGACGAUCCGUAGCUGGUCUGAGAGGAUGAUCAGCCACACUGGAACUGAGACACGGUCCAGACUCCGUACGGGAGCAGCA